UACGUAGGGGGCUAGCGUUGUCCGGAAUCAUUGGGCGUAAAGAGCGUGUAGGCGGUCCGGUAAGUCCGCUGUGAAAGUCGGGGGCUCAACCCUCGAAUGCCGGUGGAUACUGUCGGGCUAGAGUGCGGAAGAGGCGAGUGGAAUUCCUGGUGUAGCGGUGAAAUGCGCAGAUAUCGGGAGGAACACCCGUGGCGAAGGCGGGUCUCUGGGACGGUACUGACGCUGAGACGCGAAAGCGUGGGGAGCGAACAGG
RNAcentral lists this ribosomal RNA (253 nucleotides) under uncultured bacterium. RNAcentral describes it as "partial 16S ribosomal RNA". It matches the Rfam family "Bacterial small subunit ribosomal RNA", at positions 524 to 776 of the family's 1533-position model. The record is from RNAcentral.